Long non-coding RNA from Stomoxys calcitrans (stable fly), 688 nucleotides. RefSeq lists it as uncharacterized. The transcript is spliced from 3 exons. NCBI's taxonomy places the organism in Eukaryota, Metazoa, Arthropoda, Insecta, Diptera, Muscidae. The record is from RefSeq and is a predicted model, not a curated record.
UGUUUGUUUUUUUUUCUAUAUUUAUUAAAAGAAGGUCAUGUGUUCACACAAAAAAAAAAAGUUCGAACUCAAACUUAAAGAUUUUGUCCUUAAUUUUUGGAUUUUGGUAAUAAUUUCGAGUCAAAGAUAUGCAACUUAUUAACAAGGAUUGCGCCCUAGCAUAAAAUAAGUAGUGUGGAUAUAAACCAAGUACACGACGUUUUAAAAUAAAAAAUGCAUGAAUCCUUAAAACAAAGAAAUUAAUACUAAAAUCAAGUAUUUUUUUGCAGACUUGAAUUAACGAUGUUAGCCCCUCAAUGCAAUACAAAAAUAGAAAUUGAUUAAAAACUGCUGCAUCUUAAUAAAAGGAAAUUGUAUUUUGAAGUAUGCUGUGAUAAAUGCUCUAAUUUUAUUUUAUUGCGCUAAUUAAUUUUAGGUUAGGUUAGGUUGAAAAGAGGGUGCAGAUAUUAAUCCGCCCCAUGCCACUAUGGACAUACAACUAAGCCAGUAAUCGGCUUGUUGUGCGCUCUAAAAGAAAAAUUUGGUUGAUGACUUUUAUUGUGUCUCCACCUAAGUGCCGGUAUCUGUUAGACGUGAAAGUCGGGCAAUAGCAAAGGAAAUGCUCCACCGUCUCAUUAUCUUCCCCGCACCGAUUUUACAUAAUAAUAACCUCGUCUUCUCACGAUCUAGAUCCACCCAUAGGAUUAGG